GAUUAAAAAAAAAAAAAAAAAAAGCAAAUCGGUAUCGGCCAUGAAAAAUCAUGAUCGUGCAUCCCUAAUUACAAUUUACUUAAAGACAUUUGUAACUUUUUUUGCAAUUGUCAUUCUUUACUGUACAGGUCUGAGUGAACAAAAUAAUAAUAAUAAUAAUAAUAAUUUGGUCCAUUAAUGAACUGGAUUACUGUGAUCUCCGGUGACUGACUGAAAUGAGACUGUUGUAAAGACUGUGAUAACAAACAAUGGACAGUGAAUGCUAUUGGUGGGCUUUUUAAUUGACAGUUGAAACUACGAAUCAGUACAGCUUUAGCGUCAUCUGAAAGUAGUUCCGCCAAAGGAUAUAGAAGUGUGUUGCAUCAGAAAGUUUAGUGCGGAGCUAAUGAGUGUUCUCCAAAGUUUAUUUCAAGUGUGUGCGUGCAGCUAGAAAACCACACAUACCCACAUAUCUACAGUGGAGCAUAAAAAUUAAAGAAGAAACAUCAGAGUCAUUGCAUUCUAACCGGAUGUGCCAUAGUGAUUGCAAACCUUUACUAACAAGCCCCAAAUAAAUACCUCAAAACAGAGACCCUCGAGCAAGAACUGAACCCCAACUGUUCCUCAGCGCUGCAGGUCAGACUGAAGAAGCAAUGCCUGCACAGAAUAAAGCCCAGUCUGGACCGGUUCUGUUCAGUUGUGUUACACAUUCAUUAAUCUGGUGUUUGAUGACAGAGAGAUGAUAUGAACCAUCAAUAAACACUAUGAAUAUGUUCUGAUACAGCAGCACAGAACUAUUCUGUUGUGUCCCAUUAAUAAACACAAUGAAAACAGUUCUGUCUCGCUGGAUAAAAGAGAAAUGUUUGUGUAUUUUUGGUAUUAUUAACUGAAAUGAUUGGAUAUUGGGUUGUGUAUUUGACCUGCUGUAUGAGCAACAAGAAACACCCAUUAAAACUUUCAAAUGUUUAGAUCACACAACAACUAACCUUACAAGUAAAAUAUACAGUA
Molecule: long non-coding RNA, 987 nt
Organism: Carassius gibelio (silver crucian carp)
Lineage: Eukaryota; Metazoa; Chordata; Actinopteri; Cypriniformes; Cyprinidae
Exons: 3
Source: RefSeq, a predicted model, not a curated record